RNAcentral lists this non-coding RNA (26 nucleotides) under Homo sapiens (human). The record is from RNAcentral. Lineage: Eukaryota; Metazoa; Chordata; Mammalia; Primates; Hominidae.
CACAGGAGGGACUCCGUGACAUGGGC